AGCGGACGCUGGCGGCGUGCCUAACACAUGCAAGUCGAACGUGAAAGGGAGCAAUCCCAAGUAAAGUGGCGUACGGGUGAGUAACACGUAGGUAAUCUACCCCAGAAUCUGGAAUAACCGGCCGAAAGGCUGGCUAAUACUGGAUAGAGCGACGGAAUCCGUAAUUGGGUUUUUCGGGAAAGGGAGCCUGUAAAAAGGCCUUCGUUCUGGGAUGAGCCUGCGUCCCAUCAGCUAGUUGGUGAGGUAAAAGCUUACCAAGGCAAUGACGGGUAGCUGGUCUGAGAGGACGAUCAGCCACACUGGAACUGAAACACGGUCCAGACUCCUAUGGGAGGCAGCAGUGGGGAAUCUUGCGCAAUGGACGAAAGUCUGACGCAGCAACGCCGCGUGAGUGAAGAAGGCCUUCGGGUUGUAAAGCUCUGUCGAGUGGGACGAAAAUGCUUGGAGUUCACAGCUCCAGGAACUGACGGUACCACUAAAGGAAGCACCGGCUAACUCCGUG
RNAcentral lists this ribosomal RNA (502 nucleotides) under uncultured bacterium. RNAcentral describes it as "partial 16S ribosomal RNA". It matches the Rfam family "Bacterial small subunit ribosomal RNA", at positions 29 to 507 of the family's 1533-position model. The record is from RNAcentral.